CCUCUUCUAGCACAUUUAUCUUAAUCUUUUGGGAUUUUAAAUUGUUAUAAUAGAUGAGGAAGUGAGGAUCAUUAUAUGCUCUUUUGAAACGAGGAUCAUUUUUUUCUUUUUUGGUCAGAAAUAUGCAAAUUUCAUUAAGUAUGCAAAGAUGAGAGGCCCGAUAAAUGGACAUCAUUACAUAAUAAGUCUAGCAAAGUUCGGGGAGAGGAUAAGACCCAAUUCAAAGGUAAGUGUUUUUUCUUAUAAGCUUUAGCAACCCAAUCUGCAACCAUAUUAGCCUCUCUAAAACAAUGGGCUAUAUAAAAAUUUGUGAAGGCUCGUAGUUUUUCCUUGCAUUUACUGAUAAUAGGCUGGAUUUCCCAACUCAGCUGAUCUGAUCUGUUCAUGGCUUGGACAAGUUGCAAACUGUUUGACUCAAAAGAUAAGUGCUUCGUGUCUUUGUGGGUAGAAAAAGUCAAUGCCUUCCCAAGGGUUUCGGCCAUGAGGGGAGAAGAAGCUUUGAUCUCCUUAACCACGCCUUCCACCAACCUCCCUUCCGAAUCUCUGCACACAUAAGCUAUGGAGUUCCUCAACAAACCAGGUUCGUGCGUCCCAUCUACAUUAAUCUUCCAAGCUCCUUCGUGUGGUGGAAUCCAUUGCUGAGGUGGUUCAAUUUCGUGGGUUUCAGAUCUGGUAUUUUCGUGGGUUUUCUGUCCAGCACCCCUCUGAUUCGGUCCUUCUUUGCGCCGAGAUCUCGGUUCCUCUCUUUCUUCUCUGCUCCGUGGACCGGCGUUGCCUCUGGUGGCCAACCCAACAAACCCCUGUUUCAGCUCACCGCUCGGUCGAAGACGCCUGUGCUCUGUUCCUUUCUCCGAUCGUUCCUCCUCGCUGACGCUCUCCGCUCGGGUUGGAGGUCUUAGAACGUCACUUGGCCUCCCAGCUGCAGAUCCACCGGUUCUUCCCUCAGUUCGUCCUUCAUAGUGCUUUCCCGAGGGGUUCAUCGAGGAAGGCUCUGCACCGGUCCCUGUUCUGCUACUGAUUUCAGCUUGCUCUUGUGCAGCAAGCCGUCUAUUGCCCCCACUCCAGGCGCCAUUGAGUUCCGAUCGCAGGUAUAUGCUUGGUUCAUCUGCUCUUUCCUCCUGUUCAUCAUCUGUUCUGAGUCCUAUCGUGCUGGUUUCAGCUCGUUGUGCCCCACCCGACUCUCUAUCUGCUUGUUGCUCAUUGAUUUGCUCUAUGUGCUCUGUUGGGGUUGCUCUGUUCUUAGAUCUGUCUUUAUAAUCACCCGUCCGUGGAUUCCACUUUUGAUGACUGUUUAGUGUUUGCUUGGGCAGAGUCUAGGAUGGCCGACGCCUCUGGUUCCCUUCCAAUCAAGGAUCAUUUAGAUGCGCCGAAUGAUGGUACUUUUUGAAGAAAACUUCAUCUAAGAAACUAAAAGGAGGUGGGGAUAACUACACAGAUAGUCAUUGAACUUUUUGCUUUAUUACAUAAUAUCAUCCAUGAAUUUUUAAUUUGUUUAAUAUGGUCUUUAAACUUUCGCUUACUAUGCAAUAUUCCCCAUAAACUUUUAAUUUGUUCAAUGCGGU
This 1562-nucleotide long non-coding RNA is filed under the name Eucalyptus grandis. Its description in RNAcentral is "long non-coding RNA (EGRA_LNC003350)". Lineage: Eukaryota; Viridiplantae; Streptophyta; Magnoliopsida; Myrtales; Myrtaceae. The record is from RNAcentral.